CGAAUGCUGACAUAAGUAACGAUAAAGCGGGUGAAAAGCCCGCUCGCCGGAAGACCAAGGGUUCCUGUCCAACGUUAAUCGGGGCAGGGUGAGUCGACCCCUAAGGCGAGGCCGAAAGGCGUAGUCGAUGGGAAACAGGUUAAUAUUCCUGUACUUGGUGUUACUGCGAAGGGGGGACGGAGAAGGCUAUGUUGGCCGGGCGACGGUUGUCCCGGUUUAAGCGUGUAGGCUGGUUUUCCAGGCAAAUCCGGAAAAUCAAGGCUGAGGCGUGAUGACGAGGCACUACGGUGCUGAAGCAACAAAUGCCCUGCUUCCAGGAAAAGCCUCUAAGCAUCAGGUAACAUCAAAUCGUACCCCAAACCGACACAGGUGGUCAGGUAGAGAAUACCAAGGCGCUUGAGAGAACUCGGGUGAAGGAACUAGGCAAAAUGGUGCCGUAACUUCGGGAGAAGGCACGCUGAUAUGUAGGUGAAGUCCCUCGC
This 482-nucleotide ribosomal RNA is filed under the name Escherichia coli. RNAcentral's name for it is "partial 23S ribosomal RNA". It matches the Rfam family "Bacterial large subunit ribosomal RNA", at positions 1291 to 1773 of the family's 2925-position model. The record is from RNAcentral. Lineage: Bacteria; Pseudomonadati; Pseudomonadota; Gammaproteobacteria; Enterobacterales; Enterobacteriaceae.